GGCCUCAUGGUCUAGUCGCAUGAUUCCUGCUUUGGGUAACUGAUUGCAGGAGGCCCCGGGUUCAACUCCCGGUGAGGCCC
Non-coding RNA from Crepidotus variabilis, 80 nucleotides. The record is from the annotation of a GenBank genome assembly. Lineage: Eukaryota; Fungi; Basidiomycota; Agaricomycetes; Agaricales; Crepidotaceae.